CGCGGGGUGGAGCAGCCGGUAGCUCGCGAGGCUCAUAACCUCGAGGUCACAGGUUCGAAUCCUGUCCCCGCAA
This 73-nucleotide transfer RNA is filed under the name Thermogutta sp. RNAcentral's name for it is "tRNA-Met". It matches the Rfam family "tRNA". From Rfam's summary of the family: Transfer RNA (tRNA) molecules are approximately 80 nucleotides in length. Lineage: Bacteria; Pseudomonadati; Planctomycetota; Planctomycetia; Pirellulales; Thermoguttaceae. The record is from RNAcentral.